This 117-nucleotide ribosomal RNA is filed under the name Candidatus Shapirobacteria bacterium CG09_land_8_20_14_0_10_39_12. Lineage: Bacteria; Candidatus Shapironibacteriota. The record is from RNAcentral.
CCUGGUUAUUUGAGCGAUACGGAACCACCUCUUACCAUUCCGAACAGAGCAGUGAAACGUAUCAGCGCCGACGGUAUUUCUUCCGCAAGGGAGUGAGAGAAUAGGUCAUAGCCGGGG